UUCAAAGUGAUGAAGAAGAGUAGUAAUUUAUUUAACUUUUCAUAGAGAGCUGAUGAUUGGUGUAAAUCAGUAAAAGUGAUGAAUGAACGUGCUUUGGAGCUUUUAAAUCGAGUUUUGAUGAGGUUUAAACGUAUGUCGGCGUUAACGAUAUAAGUGCUAGGUUUUUAAUCUAGAACUAAGGUGGUACCGCGAUUAACUCGUCCUUAGA
Molecule: non-coding RNA, 208 nt
Filed under: Acholeplasma laidlawii
Lineage: Bacteria; Bacillati; Mycoplasmatota; Mollicutes; Acholeplasmatales; Acholeplasmataceae
Description: T-box sequence
Rfam family: T-box leader
About the family: Uncharged tRNA acts as the effector for transcription antitermination of genes in the T-box leader family.
Source: RNAcentral